RNAcentral lists this transfer RNA (73 nucleotides) under Nocardia tenerifensis. RNAcentral's name for it is "tRNA-Trp". It matches the Rfam family "tRNA". From Rfam's summary of the family: Transfer RNA (tRNA) molecules are approximately 80 nucleotides in length. Lineage: Bacteria; Bacillati; Actinomycetota; Actinomycetes; Mycobacteriales; Nocardiaceae. The record is from RNAcentral.
ACGGACGUAGCUCAAAUGGGAGAGCAGCGGUCUCCAAAACCGCCGGUUGUGGGUUCGAGUCCCGCCGUCCGUG